GAGUGAACGCUGGCGGCGUGCCUAACACAUGCAAGUCGAACGAUGAAGUAACUAGCUUGCUAGUUGCGGAUUAGUGGCGCACGGGUGAGUAACGCAUAGGUAAUGUGCCCCUUAGUGAGGGAUAGCCACUGGAAACGGUGAUUAAUACCUCAUACUCCUUCUUUGCACAAGUAAAGAUGGGAAAGUUUUUCGCUAAGGGAUCAGCCUAUGUCCUAUCAGUUAGUUGGUGAGGUAAUGGCUCACCAAGGCAAUGACGGGUAUCUGGUUUGAGAGGAUGAUCAGACACACUGGAACUGAGACACGGUCCAGACUCCUACGGGAGGCAGCAGUGAGGAAUAUUGCACAAUGGAGGAAACUCUGAUGCAGCAACGCCGCGUGGAGGAUGACGCAUUUCGGUGUGUAAACUCCUUUUAUAUGAGAAGAUUAUGACGGUAUCAUAUGAAUAAGCACCGGCUAACUCCGUG
Molecule: ribosomal RNA, 464 nt
Filed under: uncultured bacterium
Lineage: Bacteria
Description: bacterial SSU rRNA
Rfam family: Bacterial small subunit ribosomal RNA
Source: RNAcentral